AAAGUUCAGUGUGUUACAUGAAAUCUCGAAUGCAAUGUUGCUGGUAGAGCAAGGUGGCACAGGAAACGAAGUCGCCGGAGAAGCCGUGGAAGGUUGAUGGGGUGGACCGGUCAAAGUGGGAGGCAUGCUUUGGAAAGGAUUUACGGUUUUUAACUUGGUUUAGGGUGUGUUUCGUUUAAUGUAAAAGAUGGUGAAAAAAAAAUUUGGUGAAAAAUAGUUUGCGGGUUCGAAUUUAAAAAAAUUUCGUCGAACCUUCUUUCGUUUUCCACGCGAGACAGACGAAAAGGAAAUGGCGUAGGGCGAAAAUUGCCG
Molecule: long non-coding RNA, 312 nt
Filed under: Ananas comosus (pineapple)
Lineage: Eukaryota; Viridiplantae; Streptophyta; Magnoliopsida; Poales; Bromeliaceae
Description: long non-coding RNA (ACOM_LNC001071)
Source: RNAcentral